RNAcentral lists this ribosomal RNA (305 nucleotides) under Escherichia coli. RNAcentral's name for it is "partial 16S ribosomal RNA". It matches the Rfam family "Bacterial small subunit ribosomal RNA", at positions 1 to 295 of the family's 1533-position model. Lineage: Bacteria; Pseudomonadati; Pseudomonadota; Gammaproteobacteria; Enterobacterales; Enterobacteriaceae. The record is from RNAcentral.
UUUAUGGAGAGUUUGAUCCUGGCUCAGGAUGAACGCUGGCGGCGUGCCUAAUACAUGCAAGUCGAGCGAACAGACGAGGAGCUUGCUCCUCUGACGUUAGCGGCGGACGGGUGAGUAACACGUGGAUAACCUACCUAUAAGACUGGGAUAACUUCGGGAAACCGGAGCUAAUACCGGAUAACAUGUUGAACCGCAUGGUUCAACAGUGAAAGACGGUCUUGCUGUCACUUAUAGAUGGAUCCGCGCCGCAUUAGCUAGUUGGUAAGGUAACGGCUUACCAAGGCAACGAUGCGUAGCCGACCUGA